RNAcentral lists this ribosomal RNA (388 nucleotides) under uncultured bacterium. RNAcentral's name for it is "bacterial SSU rRNA". It matches the Rfam family "Bacterial small subunit ribosomal RNA", at positions 28 to 417 of the family's 1533-position model. The record is from RNAcentral.
GACGAACGCUGGCGGCGUGCUUAACACAUGCAAGUCGAGCGGUAAGGCCCUUUCGGGGGUACACGAGCGGCGAACGGGUGAGUAACACGUGGGUGACCUGCCCUCAGCUCUGGGAUAAGCCUGGGAAACCGGGUCUAAUACCGGAUAUGACUCCAUGACGCAUGUUGUGGGGUGAAAGCCUUGUGCGGCUGAGGAUGGGCCCGCGGCCUAUCAGGCUUGUUGGUGGGGUGAUGGCCUACCAAGGCGACGACGGGUAGCCGGCCUGAGAGGGCGACCGGCCACACUGGGACUGAGACACGGCCCAGACUCCUACGGGAGGCAGCAGUGGGGAAUCUUGCGCAAUGGGCGAAAGCCUGACGCAGCGACGCCGCGUGAGGGAUGACGGCCU